Molecule: ribosomal RNA, 402 nt
Filed under: uncultured bacterium
Lineage: Bacteria
Description: bacterial SSU rRNA
Rfam family: Bacterial small subunit ribosomal RNA
Source: RNAcentral
GGGGAAUAUUGCACAAUGGGCGAAAGCCUGAUGCAGCAACGCCGCGUGAGGGAAGACGGUUUUCGGAUUGUAAACCUCUGUUUUCGGUGACGAAUAAAUGACGGUAACCGAGUAGGAAGCCACGGCUAACUACGUGCCAGCAGCCGCGGUAAUACGUAGGUGGCAAGCGUUAUCCGGAAUUACUGGGUGUAAAGGGAGCGCAGGCGGGAUAGCAAGUCAGCUGUGAAAACUAUGGGCUCAACCCAUAAACUGCAGUUGAAACUGUUAUUCUUGAGUGGAGUAGAGGCAAGCGGAAUUCCGAGUGUAGCGGUGAAAUGCGUAGAUAUUCGGAGGAACACCAGUGGCGAAGGCGGCUUGCUGGGCUCUAACUGACGCUGAGGCUCGAAAGUGUGGGGAGCAAAC